UACGUAGGGUGCAAGCGUUGUCCGGAAUUAUUGGGCGUAAAGAGCUCGUAGGCGGUUUGUUGCGUCGGCUGUGAAAUCCCGAGGCUCAACCUCGGGUCUGCAGUCGAUACGAGCAAACUAGAGUGUUGCAGGGGAGACUGGAAUUCCUGGUGUAGCGGUGAAAUGCGUAGAUAUCAAGAGGAACACCUGCGGCGAAGGCGGGUUGCUGGGCCGACACUGACGCUGAAGCGCGAAAGCUAGGGGAGCGAACGGG
RNAcentral lists this ribosomal RNA (253 nucleotides) under uncultured bacterium. RNAcentral describes it as "partial 16S ribosomal RNA". It matches the Rfam family "Bacterial small subunit ribosomal RNA", at positions 524 to 776 of the family's 1533-position model. The record is from RNAcentral.